Molecule: ribosomal RNA, 433 nt
Filed under: uncultured bacterium
Lineage: Bacteria
Description: partial 16S ribosomal RNA
Rfam family: Bacterial small subunit ribosomal RNA
Source: RNAcentral
AACGAACGCUGGCGGCAUGCCUAACACAUGCAAGUCGAACGAGACCUUCGUGUCUUUUGGCGCACGGGGGCUUACCGCGGGGGAAGCUGCCCUUAGGUUCCGUAUACCUCCCCGAGGGGUGUGCUAAUGCCGCUUGGUCUCUUCGGACCAAAGAUUUAUCGCCUUUGGAUGGGCCCGCGUUGGAUUCGCUGGUUGGUAGGGGAAAAGCAUGUCAUGGCGACGAUGCAGAGCUGGUCUGAGAGGAGGCUUAUCCACACUGGGACUGAGACACGGCCCAGACUGCUACGGGAGGGAGCAGUGGGGAAUAUUGGACACUGGGCGAAGGCCUGAUCCCGCAACGCCGCGUGAGUGAUGAAGGCGGUAGGGUUGUAAAGCUCUUUUACCCGGGAUGAUAAUGACAGUACCGGGAGAAUAAGCACCGGCUAACUCCGUG